AACAAACGCUGGCGGCGUGCCUAAUACAUGCAAGUCGAACGAGUAGCAAUACUAGUGGCGCACGGGUGAGGAAUACAUGGGUAAUCUGCCCUCGAGUUGGGGAUAACCAGUCGAAAGAUUGGCUAAUACCGAAUAAGACCACAGGAUCUGCGGAUCUAGGGGUUAAAGGUUUUUCGCUUGAGGAUGAGCCCAUGCGGGAUUAGCUUGUUGGUGAGGUAAUGGCUCACCAAGGCUACGAUCCCUAACUGGUCUUAGAGGAUGAUCAGUCACACUGGAACUGAGACACGGUCCAGACUCCUACGGGAGGCAGCAGUAGGGAAUAUUGCACAAUGGGGGAAACCCUGAUGCAGCGACGCCGCGUGAGUGAUGAAGGCCUUCGGGUCGUAAAGCUCUGUCGUAUGGGACUAACACAAUGAAGGUACCAUGCAAGAAAGGAUCGGCUAACUUCGUG
This 451-nucleotide ribosomal RNA is filed under the name uncultured organism. RNAcentral's name for it is "bacterial SSU rRNA". It matches the Rfam family "Bacterial small subunit ribosomal RNA", at positions 29 to 507 of the family's 1533-position model. The record is from RNAcentral.